Molecule: long non-coding RNA, 583 nt
Filed under: Brachypodium distachyon (stiff brome)
Lineage: Eukaryota; Viridiplantae; Streptophyta; Magnoliopsida; Poales; Poaceae
Description: long non-coding RNA (BDIS_LNC000702)
Source: RNAcentral
GUCCGGCAGGGCGGCGCGCGCGCGGUCGGGCGCGGUUGGACUGGGCCGGUUCGGCCCAAAAUGGCCGGGCCGGUCCAUUUGCUCCCUUUUUUUUUUCUUUUACCCUUUUCUUUUUCUGUUUUUCUCAUUUCUUUGAUACCUUUUGAGUCUGAACAACAAAUUGGUCCAAAUAAAUUCCAGAAAAUUUGUAAAAUCAUGUUCUACCAAGAUACAACUUUUGGAAGUAGUUUCUCUUCAAAAUAAAAUAUGUAAAAAAUACAUUUGCCCUAUAGAUGCUUUAGGGACAUAUAACUAUUUAAAUAAAAUACUUUUUCAACUCCAAAUAAUUAUCCAAAAAUUAUGGGAUAGCUCAUAUAUGCAAUAAACCCCUUUUAUACUUGAACCUUAAUGGUUUGAAGAUCCAAAGUUCAAAUGGGUGUAAAUCCUAGGGUUUAAAAUGAAACAAAAAUCUUUCCAAAGCCCUUUUGAGAUUCAAAUUUGAAUUCAAAUAUGCAAUUGUGGCAUGAUGCUUAUGAAUGCAAUGCUCAUGUAAAGGUUUGAAAUUUUGGGAUGUUACAUUCCAACUUCUUAAAUAAAACGAAUG